RNAcentral lists this ribosomal RNA (119 nucleotides) under Pteropus alecto (black flying fox). Lineage: Eukaryota; Metazoa; Chordata; Mammalia; Chiroptera; Pteropodidae. The record is from RNAcentral.
GUCUAUAUCCAUGCCACCCUGAACGAGCCUGAUCCUGUCUGAUCUCAGAAGCAAAGCAGGGUAGGGCCUGGUUAGUAUUUGGAUGAGAGACCAUUUAAGAAGACCAGGUGCUGUAGGCA